Phyllostomus discolor (pale spear-nosed bat) is the source of this 271-nucleotide long non-coding RNA. RefSeq lists it as uncharacterized. The transcript has 2 exons. The record is from RefSeq and is a predicted model, not a curated record. Lineage: Eukaryota; Metazoa; Chordata; Mammalia; Chiroptera; Phyllostomidae.
UACAGGGUCUGGUAGAAGUAAGGACUCCUGGAGUGUGUUUGGUAGGGUAAUGAAUAUGGGUGUUAUAAUUUAUAGUUUUAAUUUGAACAUUCACCUAAAAUGUCAUAUGGCGUGUUUGAGUGUGAUAUUGUUAUGUUACAGAAUUACAUGCUUAUUUUGUAAUAAAAAGGGGGCAUUAUUUGUGCCACACCCUGUAUAGUUAAAUUGAAGCUUGAAAGAGAUUACAUGAAAAGAAUCUGGCCCUUGCCUUAACGUUUCCUAAGUUGACUAU